Molecule: ribosomal RNA, 547 nt
Filed under: uncultured Eurotiales
Lineage: Eukaryota; Fungi; Ascomycota; Eurotiomycetes; Eurotiales
Description: SSU rRNA
Rfam family: Eukaryotic small subunit ribosomal RNA
Source: RNAcentral
UGCCAGUAGUCAUAUGCUUGUCUCAAAGAUUAAGCCAUGCAUGUCUAAGUAUAAGCAAUCUAUACUGUGAAACUGCGAAUGGCUCAUUAAAUCAGUUAUCGUUUAUUUGAUAGUACCUUACUACAUGGAUACCUGUGGUAAUUCUAGAGCUAAUACAUGCUAAAAACCCCGACUUCGGGAGGGGUGUAUUUAUUAGAUAAAAAACCAAUGCCCCUCGGGGCUCCUUGGUGAAUCAUAAUAACUUAACGAAUCGCAUGGCCUUGCGCCGGCGAUGGUUCAUUCAAAUUUCUGCCCUAUCAACUUUCGAUGGUAGGAUAGUGGCCUACCAUGGUGGCAACGGGUAACGGGGAAUUAGGGUUCGAUUCCGGAGAGGGAGCCUGAGAAACGGCUACCACAUCCAAGGAAGGCAGCAGGCGCGCAAAUUACCCAAUCCCGACACGGGGAGGUAGUGACAAUAAAUACUGAUACGGGGCUCUUUUGGGUCUCGUAAUUGGAAUGAGUACAAUCUAAAUCCCUUAACGAGGAACAAUUGGAGGACAAGUCUGGU